GACGGGAGGAGCAAGCGUUAUCCGGAUUCACUGGGUGUAAAGGGUUCGUAAGUGAUUAAGUAAGUCAAAUCUUAAAUAUUUCAGCUUAACUGAAAAUCCGGUUUGAAACUGCUUAAAUAGAGUGCGAAGGAGGAAAGUGGAACUGCCGGUGUAGCGGUGAAAUGCGUAGAUAUCGGCAGGAACACCAAUUGCAAAGGCAACUUUCUAUUUCGAUACUGACACUGAGGAACGAAAGCAUGGGGAGCAAUCGGG
Molecule: ribosomal RNA, 252 nt
Filed under: uncultured bacterium
Lineage: Bacteria
Description: partial 16S ribosomal RNA
Rfam family: Bacterial small subunit ribosomal RNA
Source: RNAcentral